CCUCACCUGUCUCCCACCACAG
This 22-nucleotide microRNA is filed under the name Mus musculus (house mouse). RNAcentral describes it as "mmu-miR-7056-3p". The record is from miRBase by way of RNAcentral. Lineage: Eukaryota; Metazoa; Chordata; Mammalia; Rodentia; Muridae.